AGAAAAAAGAGUCCGAGAGAUUCUCGAGAACGUUUUUCAUCCGUUUGGACGUGGACCCACCGGUGGAGGCAUCCUAUUAUCCUCACCCCAUAAAUAUUAAGUAGCCGAUCGAACGUUCAAACAUUUAUUACAAAGAACUCACGAGCUGUUGUUAGCUAUAUAUACGAUGAAAGCAGAAUUUACGCGUACAACCGCUGAAUAAUCGUAUAUGAAACGUGUUUAGAUAAGAAACGUACUGGCCUUGCGUGGAUAACAAGCUUUUAUUUCUUUUUGUUAUUCCAUAGUGUAGGCUAUUAGUAUACCGAAGCUCGAUCGAUAAUAUAAAUACUUGCAAAAUAAUUUUAGAAAAUUUCCGUUCUACGCUCGUACCGUUUAUAUUUGAAAAAGAGAAUUCCUUCGGCCUUCACCGUUCACGUUGAAUAUAUUCUUUCAUAAUGAGAUCAUGUUCUUUUAUCAAGUUUCGUAAGAUACAACAAAAAAAAGAGAAAAAAAAAACAAAAAUACGCAACUCAGAA
This is a long non-coding RNA of Vespula vulgaris, 515 nucleotides long. RefSeq lists it as uncharacterized. The record is from RefSeq and is a predicted model, not a curated record. The transcript has 2 exons. NCBI's taxonomy places the organism in Eukaryota, Metazoa, Arthropoda, Insecta, Hymenoptera, Vespidae.